GUGUGUGUGUCUGAGGGUCUGUGUGCAUGUGCAUAUGUGUGCACAGGUGUGCAUUUGUGCAUGUGAGUGUGAGUGGCCCAAAUAGGCAUGCACUGUGUAUCCAGCACACACUGCUUCCCCUAUUCCCCUGCACCCUGCCCCACCUCCACCCCCCAGGUCUGCAUACCCAUUAUCCUUGUGCCCGUUUGCUCAUACACACUCAGCCUGAGACACUCUCCCACCUCCUGUCCCUUCUUUCUCCCUUCAGCCAUGAGGUCUCCACCAAAUAUCUCAACUUCACAGCCUCAGAGAAUACCAGUCGAGUCAUGCAGCAUCAAUAUCAGGUCAGCAACCUGGGGCAAAGGACCCUUCCCAUCAGCCUGGUGUUCCUGGUGCCCGUCCGGCUGAACCAGGCGAUCAUAUGGGACCGUCCCCAGGUCACCUUCUCCGAGGUGAGUGGAGCACGGCCCUGCGCCUUCCUCACACCUCUGUUUCCACCCUUGGGUUUUGGAGCCACUCCGCCCCUCUCCCAGACCCAGGGCAUCUCACCUCCUGGCCGGCUGGCCCGGGCACCUUCAUCUCUGCCCCUUAGUGCCAGUGCCUCUCUUUCUUCAGAACCUCUCGAGUACGUGCCACACCAAGGAGAGCUUGCCCCCUCACUCCGACUUUCUGGCUGAGCUUCGGAAGGCCCCCGUGGUGGUGAGAAGCUAAGUCAGCCCCAGGGCCACGUGGAGACGCAGCGCGGUUCCCUGCUGGAGCCUAUCUGGUCUCUGAACAACGGGGAGGGGUCUUCUCUGCCUUCAGCUUCGUUACCAUCCCCUCCCCUCCUGCGUUCCGCAGAACUGCUCCAUCGCUGUCUGCCAGAGAAUCCAGUGUGACAUCCCGUUCUUUGGCAUCCAGGAAAAAUUCAAUGCCACCCUC
This 900-nucleotide long non-coding RNA is filed under the name Aotus nancymaae (Ma's night monkey). RNAcentral describes it as "lncRNA (ENSANAG00000038595.1)". The record is from RNAcentral. Lineage: Eukaryota; Metazoa; Chordata; Mammalia; Primates; Aotidae.